AUGCCCCUGGACUUCACCAAGAACCUCGUCGCAGUGCCGACGGAGUUCAAUAUGAGGAACAACAUCGGCUGCUCCUGGAGGGUGACGGUGAAGCUGAUGAACGGCAGGGUGACCUUGGAUCGGGGUUGGGCCACCUACGCCGCUGUUCAUCAGAUCAAGAUCGGCUACAUGGUGACGUUCAAGCUCCUCACUCCUGACACCCUCAAGGUUAUCAUCUUCAACGACGAUGGCAUUGAGGUGGUCAACAAGUGCGGGAAGCACGACGAAGCUUUUGCCGCCAAGGACUAG
RNAcentral lists this ribosomal RNA (288 nucleotides) under Triticum aestivum (bread wheat). Its description in RNAcentral is "partial small subunit ribosomal RNA". The record is from RNAcentral. Lineage: Eukaryota; Viridiplantae; Streptophyta; Magnoliopsida; Poales; Poaceae.